CAGGAAAGGGGAGGAUUUACCAGCCCUGUGGGUGGGGGUGGAACCUGGGAUGUGCUGCUGUUACGGACCCUGGGCUCAGCAACCUACCCUCCACUUCCCUUCCCCCCACGCCUCCGCCCAACACACACGCACACACAGUCCAGCCUCCCACCGGACACCUAACCUCAGUCCCCCCUGCAGCGCCAGGAGGAAUAAGUCAGGAGAUUCCACUCUUGGGCCCAGAACAUUUUAUGCUGAAACUGUCUCAUACCUGUUCACAAGUGAUUUGAGCCCAUCUCCUCCAAAUGGACAUUAAAAUCAGCCAAGGUGCAAAUAUUUACAGCAUGAGAAUCAGCAAAUUCUAAAAAACAGGAAUCUUUAUUUCCAGAGAGCUAGUUACUAAACUUUUACCACGUACCACUGCAUCACCAGAUCCUUAAAAGCCGUUUGAAAAAAGAUUAACAAACUCACACCAAUGUAUA
RNAcentral lists this long non-coding RNA (461 nucleotides) under Homo sapiens (human). RNAcentral describes it as "HSALNT0310777". The record is from RNAcentral. Lineage: Eukaryota; Metazoa; Chordata; Mammalia; Primates; Hominidae.